This 368-nucleotide ribosomal RNA is filed under the name uncultured archaeon. Its description in RNAcentral is "bacterial SSU rRNA". It matches the Rfam family "Archaeal small subunit ribosomal RNA", at positions 348 to 720 of the family's 1478-position model. The record is from RNAcentral.
CUUUACAAUGCUGGCAACAGCGAUAAGGGAACCUCGAGUGCCCGUAAAUUCGGGCUGUCCGCCAGUGCAAAUAGCUGGUGAAGAAAGGGCCGGGCAAGACCGGUGCCAGCCGCCGCGGUAAUACCGGCGGCUCGAGUGGUGGCCACUAUUACUGGGCUUAAAGGGUCCGUAGCUGGAUACACAAGUCCCUUGAGAAGUCCGCCGGCUUAACCGGUGGGCGUUCAGGGGAAACUGUAUUUCUAGGGACCGGAGAGGUGAGAGGUACUGCCGGGGUAGGAGUGAAAUCCUGUAAUCCCGGUGGGACCACCUAUGGCGAAGGCAGUCUCACCAGAACGGGUCCGACAGUGAGGGACGAAAGCUGGGGGANC